UACGUAGGGGGCUAGCGUUGUCCGGAAUCACUGGGCGUAAAGGGUGCGUAGGCGGCCGUGUAAGUCUGGCGUGAAAGCCCCGGGCUCAGCCCGGGAAGUGCGCUCGAAACUGCGCGGCUCGAGUGCCGGAGGGGAGAGUGGAAUUCCUGGUGUAGCGGUGAAAUGCGUAGAUAUCAGGAGGAAUACCGGUGGCGAAAGCGACUCUCUGGACGGCAACUGACGCUGAGGCACGAAAGCGUGGGGAGCAAACAGG
RNAcentral lists this ribosomal RNA (253 nucleotides) under uncultured bacterium. RNAcentral describes it as "partial 16S ribosomal RNA". It matches the Rfam family "Bacterial small subunit ribosomal RNA", at positions 524 to 776 of the family's 1533-position model. The record is from RNAcentral.